RNAcentral lists this ribosomal RNA (497 nucleotides) under uncultured bacterium. RNAcentral describes it as "partial 16S ribosomal RNA". It matches the Rfam family "Bacterial small subunit ribosomal RNA", at positions 28 to 507 of the family's 1533-position model. The record is from RNAcentral.
GAUGAACGCUGGCGGCGUGCCUAAUACAUGCAAGUCGAGCGAACAGACGAGGAGCUUGCUCCUCUGACGUUAGCGGCGGACGGGUGAGUAACACGUGGAUAACCUACCUAUAAGACUGGGAUAACUUCGGGAAACCGGAGCUAAUACCGGAUAAUAUAUUGAACCGCAUGGUUCAAUAGUGAAAGACGGUUUUGCUGUCACUUAUAGAUGGAUCCGCGCCGCAUUAGCUAGUUGGUAAGGUAACGGCUUACCAAGGCAACGAUGCGUAGCCGACCUGAGAGGGGGAUCGCCCACACUGGAACUGAGACACGGUCCAGACUCCUACGGGAGGCAGCAGUAGGGAAUCGUCCGCAAUGGGCGAAAGCCUGACGGAGCAACGCCGCGUGAGUGAUGAAGGUCUUCGGAUCGUAAAACUCUGUUAUUAGGGAAGAACAAAUGUGUAAGUAACUAUGCACGUCUUGACGGUACCUAAUCAGAAAGCCACGGCUAACUACGUG